This 253-nucleotide ribosomal RNA is filed under the name uncultured bacterium. RNAcentral describes it as "partial 16S ribosomal RNA". It matches the Rfam family "Bacterial small subunit ribosomal RNA", at positions 524 to 776 of the family's 1533-position model. The record is from RNAcentral.
UACGGAGGGUGCAAGCGUUAUCCGGACUCACUGGGUUUAAAGGGUGCGUAGGUGGGCAGGUAAGUCAGUGGUGAAAUCUCCGGGCUUAACUCGGAAACUGCCAUUGAUACUAUCUGUCUUGAAUACCGUGGAGGUCAGCGGAAUAUGUCAUGUAGCGGUGAAAUGCUUAGAUAUGACAUAGAACACCAAUUGCGAAGGCAGCUGGCUACACGAAUAUUGACACUGAUGCACGAAAGCGUGGGGAUCAAACAGG